This 729-nucleotide ribosomal RNA is filed under the name uncultured bacterium. Its description in RNAcentral is "bacterial SSU rRNA". It matches the Rfam family "Bacterial small subunit ribosomal RNA", at positions 9 to 694 of the family's 1533-position model. The record is from RNAcentral.
GAGUUUGAUCCUGGCUCAGGAUGAACGCCGGCGGUGUGCCUAAUACAUGCAAGUCGAACGCGUUGGCCCAACUGAUUGAACGUGCUUGCACGGACUUGACGUUGGUUUACCAGCGAGUGGCGGACGGGUGAGUAACACGUAGGUAACCUGCCCCAAAGCGGGGGAUAACAUUUGGAAACAGAUGCUAAUACCGCAUAACAAUUUGAAUCGCAUGAUUCAAAUUUAAAAGAUGGCUUCGGCUAUCACUUUGGGAUGGACCUGCGGCGCAUUAGCUUGUUGGUAGGGUAACGGCCUACCAAGGCUGUGAUGCGUAGCCGAGUUGAGAGACUGAUCGGCCACAAUGGAACUGAGACACGGUCCAUACUCCUACGGGAGGCAGCAGUAGGGAAUCUUCCACAAUGGGCGCAAGCCUGAUGGAGCAACACCGCGUGAGUGAAGAAGGGUUUCGGCUCGUAAAGCUCUGUUGUUAGAGAAGAACGUGCGUGAGAGCAACUGUUCACGCAGUGACGGUAUCUAACCAGAAAGUCACGGCUAACUACGUGCCAGCAGCCGCGGUAAUACGUAGGUGGCAAGCGUUAUCCGGAUUUAUUGGGCGUAAAGCGAGCGCAGGCGGUUUGAUAAGUCUGAUGUGAAAGCCUUUGGCUUAACCAAAGAAGUGCAUCGGAAACUGUCAGACUUGAGUGCAGAAGAGGACAGUGGAACUCCAUGUGUAGCGGUGAAAUGCGUAGA